GUGAAUCAAUUCCCUUUUCGAUCUUGUUUGUUGAAUGUUAAGGCUUUUCAUUGACUUAUUGUUUCCUCGGGAUUGAAUUUCUUUUUGGUUCUCUGAGAUAUUUUGGGAGCGAAAGUUUAAUGCUUUAUUGGUGUCUGGAUGUGUGCAAUUGGGGUUUAAUCUUAUAUUUUUUUUUUGAAUGUUGCUUUAGGUCAUGGCUGGGAAGCGAGUUAUAGCCAUAUGCCAGUCAGGUGGUGAAUUUGAGACUGAUAAAGAUGGUUUCCUUUUGUAUAAAGGCGGAGAUGCUCAUGCUAUGGAAAUGGAUGACAAAAUGAACUACAAUGAUUUCAAGAUGGAGGUAGCUGAGAUGUUCAACUUCAGCCUUGCUACCAUGUCAGUUAAAUAUUUUCUUCCUGGAAACAGGAAGACACUUAUAACAAUCUCCAAUGACAAAGAUCUUAAGCGCAUGAUCAAAUUCCAUGGUGACUCUGAUUCUGUUGAGAUCUAUGUGAUGACUGAAGAAGCUGUUGAUCCUGAUUUGUCAAACAUGCCUGGCAGUAGGUAGAUUCCUUGCUGCUGCCUGAGAUCUAUGUGAUGACUGAAGAAGCUAUUGAUCCUGAUUUCUCAAACAUGCCUGGCAGUAGGU
This 625-nucleotide long non-coding RNA is filed under the name Nicotiana benthamiana. Its description in RNAcentral is "long non-coding RNA (NBEN_LNC016047)". The record is from RNAcentral. Lineage: Eukaryota; Viridiplantae; Streptophyta; Magnoliopsida; Solanales; Solanaceae.